This 439-nucleotide ribosomal RNA is filed under the name uncultured bacterium. RNAcentral describes it as "partial 16S ribosomal RNA". It matches the Rfam family "Bacterial small subunit ribosomal RNA", at positions 339 to 795 of the family's 1533-position model. The record is from RNAcentral.
CUACGGGUUGCUCCAGUGAGGAAUAUUGCACAAUGGGGGGAACCCUGAUGCAGCAACGCCGCGUGGAGGAUGACGCAUUUCGGUGUGUAAACUCCUUUUAUAUGUCAAGAAAAUGACGGUAGCAUAUGAAUAAGCACCGGCUAACUCCGUGCCAGCAGCCGCGGUAAUACGGAGGGUGCAAGCGUUACUCGGGAUCACUGGGCGUAAAGGACGCGUAGGCGGGUUGGAAAGUCAGGUGUGAAAUCCUACAGCUUAACUGUAGAACUGCACUUGAAACUUCUAAUCUAGAGUAUGGGAGGGGGAGAUGGAAUUAGUGGUGUAGGGGUAAAAUCCGUAGAUAUCACUAGGAAUACCUAAAGCGAAGGCGAUCUCCUGGAACAUUACUGACGCUAAGGCGUGAAAGCGUGGGGAGCAAAUAGGAUUAGAUACCCGCGUAGUC